RNAcentral lists this ribosomal RNA (253 nucleotides) under uncultured bacterium. Its description in RNAcentral is "partial 16S ribosomal RNA". It matches the Rfam family "Bacterial small subunit ribosomal RNA", at positions 524 to 776 of the family's 1533-position model. The record is from RNAcentral.
UACGGGGGGGGCAAGCGUUGUUCGGAAUUACUGGGCGUAAAGGGCUCGUAGGCGGCCAACUAAGUCGGAUGUGAAAUCCCCAAGCUUAACUUGGGAACUGCAUCCGAUACUGGAUGGCUUGAAUCCGGGAGAGGUGAGUGGAAUUCCGAGUGUAGAGGUGAAAUUCGUAGAUAUUCGGAAGAACACCAGUGGCGAAGGCGGCUCACUGGACCGGUAUUGACGCUGAGGUGCGAAAGCGUGGGGAGCAAACAGG